Molecule: ribosomal RNA, 301 nt
Filed under: uncultured bacterium
Lineage: Bacteria
Description: partial 16S ribosomal RNA
Rfam family: Bacterial small subunit ribosomal RNA
Source: RNAcentral
CAGUAGCCACGGGAACACGAAGGGGGCUAGCGUUGCUCGGAAUGACUGGGCGUAAAGGGCGCGUAGGCGGCGAUCAAAGUCAGGCGUGAAAUUCCUGGGCUCAACCUGGGGGCUGCGUUUGAUACUUGGUUGCUAGAGUGAGGAAGAGGGUCGUGGAAUUCCCAGUGUAGAGGUGAAAUUCGUAGAUAUUGGGAAGAACACCGGUGGCGAAGGCGGCGACCUGGUCCUUGACUGACGCUGAGGCGCGAAAGCGUGGGGAGCAAACAGGAUUAGAUACCCCAGUAGUCCCUGUCUCUUAUAC